This 1143-nucleotide ribosomal RNA is filed under the name uncultured organism. RNAcentral describes it as "bacterial SSU rRNA". It matches the Rfam family "Bacterial small subunit ribosomal RNA", at positions 292 to 1421 of the family's 1533-position model. The record is from RNAcentral.
CUGAAAGGAUGAUCAGCCACACUGGAACUGAGACACGGUCCAGACACCUACGGGUGGCAGCAGUUUCGGAAUCAUUCACAAGGGGGGAAACCCUGAUGGUGCAACAGCCGCGUGGGGGAUGACGGGCUUCGGGUUGUAAACCCCUGUCACCAGGGAAUAAACGUACGGUUCGUGACCGUGCCUGAAUUAGCCUGGAGAGGAAGCAGUGGCUAACUCCGUGCCAGCAGCCGCGGUACUACUGAGACUGCAUGCGUUACUCGGAUUUACUGGGCGUAAAGGGUCCGUAGGCGGCCGUGUGUGUCGGGUGUGAAAUCCUGCAGCUUAACUGUAGCAUUGCGCUCGAAACUACACGGCUAGAGUAUUGGAGAGGUGAAUGGACUUCCAGGUGUAGCGGUGACAUGCGUACAUAUCUGGAGGAAUACCAACGGCGACGGCAGUUCACUGGACAAUGACUGACGCUGAGGGACUACAGCGUCGGGAGCGAAUGGGAUUAGAUACCCCUGUAGUCCACGCCGUAAACAUAGAGCAAUCCAUAUCGCCGGAUCAGACCCCGUCAGUGCCCAAGCUAACGCGAUAAGGGCACCGCAGUGAGGAAGACGACUGCAAGGCUAAAACUCAGAGGAAUAGACGGGUCCCCGCACAAGCGGUGGAGCACGUGGCUACACUCGAAGCAACGCGAAGAACCGCACCAGCUCUAGACAUGUAGCGGACCGGGGCAGGAGAUAGCCCCUUCUCUAUCUGGAUCCAGCUUCACAGGUGCUGCAUGGCAGUCGUCAGCUCGUCUCGUUGAGAUGUUAGGUUAAGUCCGUCAACGCGCUCAUCCCCUGUCCGUAGUGGCCAGCAUUCAGUUGGGGACUUUAAGGAGACAUUCCCGCUUUUGCGUGAGGUAAGAUGGGGAUGAUGUUAAGUCAAUAUGGCCCUUACGUCAUGGUCUGAACACGUGUUACGAUGCUCGGUACGAUAAGGUCGUUACUUCGCGAGGAGAUGCUAAUCCAGCAAGCCGGUCCCAGUUCGGAGUGGAGUCUGCAAUUCGACUCCACUGAAGUCGGAAUCGCAUAGUAAUGGCGCAUCAGCAAUGGCGCGGUGAAUACGUUCCCGGGGACUUGUACACACAGCCCGUCACAUCAUGAAGCCGGUUUCGCC